AGCUUGUUAAUAUGAUAGUUGAUGGACAUAAUUAUGUUUAUAUGAUUAAUUACUUUGGGAUUUUGUGUUUUACAUGUAUGGUUAGUUGUAAACUGAUCUCUAUGGAAUGGAUUUGUUUACUUCUAAACUUUCUCAAGUAGAGGAAUUCCUAUAAGAUAGGAAUAUUAGUUUAUACUUUCUUAAAGUUCAUAAGAGUUAGUAUAUUGGUUAGUUUAGUUGAUUCAACCCUAGCUCUGCAGAAGAUUAAAAGUUUAUUGGGAUGUUAUUUAUAGCUAAUUCUUCUUAUCUAGUUAUCCAAUCUUAUUUUAGAAUCUUGCUAUUAUGAAGGUGACAGUAGCAAUGAUAGAUAAGUGAGCAAGAGUUUCUACAUCGUUAAGCGUAUCAGGUGGGCUUUCUAAACUCAUAAUUUGAAGUGCGCACUAUUUAAUUAUGUUAUUAUAUGAAUGAAGUUAUAUUAAAGUUAUUGACUUGCCAAAACUUUUAUGAGCUUGUAUGUUACCAUCUACGAGAGAUAGACGAUAUCGGCCCUAUGCUGAAGCGAGAUGUCAGUAAGGGUUUGUGCACAUAGUUGUGACCGUGAGUCAUCGAGCGGGUUGGCCGGUCACUGUGAUCGGGAGCCUUCGGGCCGAUCACUGUGUUUGAGAAGGAGGCCUACUUCUCAACACAAGGUUACAUGAUGCGUAGUUAUGGUACAUACAUGUUAAUUGUCUGCAGACGUAUAUGAUAUUAUGAUGAUAUAUAUAUAGAAGUUUUACAGUUUUGGCGUGCACAGGUUAUUUAAAUAAAACUCCUGUGUGAUGCUUGAGAUGGCAAGUUCAAUAUAUAGCUCUAAGAGCAAACUUUAAAGUUAUUUCGGCAUGUGACCAUUGAGUACCUUUUUAGUACUCAGCCCUGCAUAUGUUUCUAAAUGUGCAGGUUAAGCUGUGAUGCAGAUGGAGGCGAGCAGAGCAAAGCUUUUGAAGUAUAAGUAUUAAAUUAGGCUCAGGAUUUCAUGUCUUCAUACAUGUAAUCCACUUAAGUUAUUCCGCUGCAACACUUAGUGUAUUUUACUUUAUUGAUGUGUUGUACAGAUUUUAAACCAAUAGCUUCGAAAAUUAUGUCACUUGAAAAUUUGACAACUUGUCGUUAUGUAUUGUGAGUUGUCUGCUUUGAGUUUUAGAAAAGAUUGUUUAUGAUUACCAAAUAUUUAGGUAAAUUAUUGUUUAAGCAAGAUGAUUAUUUUUAUUGAAACCUCUUUUAUUUUCCAUUUUCUUUUUCCAUUUCCCCAGUCACAUUUUCCCCGGCUUAACUGUUGUUAGCUUAGGUCGGGCUGUGACAGAGUGGUAUCAGAGCAGGUCAUUUGCUCUGAGCCUAAAUAUCCUUUUGAGUCUAGUCUAAAUUUGAAUCUUUGGACUAGUAUGAGUAAUAUAGUAAAAGCUCUGCUCUCCAUCUCAUCCAGCUUAGCCAGGUACGGAUUUUUCAGAGUUUUAAAGUAGCAUGUUACAUUUUUAAACAAGUUUGAGAUAUGAGUUGCAGUUUUGCAAGUAUUAGUAUGAUGGAAACUUAUAUAUUUUAAAAUGAGCAUGGACAACAUGAGUUAUUUUUGAGUAUCCUCUGCCUAUACGAACUUUUGGAUUUGAAUGGAUAAAAGUGUUAUUCAUAUAUUAAUAUUUAUAUUUUGAUAUGUGGAUGGAGAUAUAGACAGUUUGAUGAUACAAUAAUGAUGUAUAUCAGUCGCGAUGUAACCUAGUACUAGUAGUGAUGUUAUACAGUUAGGGCACCACAAUUAGUACUAAGAGCUUUUUGCAACAUAUAUUCCUAUCUUUCGUAUGAGAACUCAUUGAGGCAAAUUUUCCCAUGAUAUGAAACGACCGAAGUAGUCAUUUACUAGGUUGUUGAGCUUUAAUUGCUUAGAUGAUUGAAAUUUUGUGUAUGAGUUUUAUACUUUAGUUGGUUUAUAGUUAUGUAGCAGUUUGACUUUACGGAUGGAAUAAAAGCUCAAUUAUGGGGAUUUUGUGUAUUUACUCGGCAUGAUAUCUCAAAGAAGAAAUGGAAAUUUGCCAUCCGCCAUGUGAAUAAUUUAGAGGAAAGUUUUUCAUCAUCAAGAUCCCCCUAUUCAUAGUAGAGUUUCACGAGUUUCGCUUCCUUAGAUGCAAUGAUCAAGAGCGCCUUCUUGUAUGUUAUUUCAACUACAAGGAUCGACUGAUUCUUAGUGGGAGACGAAGCAGAAGAUACAUACCCUCGAGCGAUUAGAGAAUCUUAUUUGGGGCCACGUCACAGAAGUUUCUAUGAAGAACAUGUUCCCAGAAGCUACCAUAAGCAAAUGAAGAUGAUCGUGGUUGAAUAUGAUUGAGAGUUUUGAGACAUAUCUCGAUAUACGCCUUAUAAGGUUGAAACAUAGAGUAGUUGUAACUUUUGAUAGAGUUUUGAUGUAGUGCCUUUACUUGUUGGCAAACCAAAUAUUCUUUCAGCUAUUGCAAGCCAAACAUUCCUUCAACUAAUGAAGAUAUCUCUUUUCCAUUUCAUCCCUCCCACCAAAAGUUUUGUUUGAAAUCUUGAUAUAAUUUAGUGCUUCUGUGGUGGGCAGUAUAUAGCGUAUCAUGAGCUUUACUCGUGAUUUUAUUUCUCAACUGUUCAGUAUUGGGUACACAACUUUUCUCAAACAUGAUAGCAGUACCCCUAGCUUUUUGGCAAGUAUUGACCCCUUCUAUCAAAAUCCUUACCCAUAAUUUUUCUCCUUUUUAUUUUCCCCAUGUACUUUAACAAUUCUUCUUCUCAAAUCAAAAAUCAUUGUUAACAUUGCAAUUACAGCUUCUCUUGUUUGCUGUGGUAGAACCAUUUGUAAAUCCAACUUUCAAAUCCUUGAUGAGAAUUUUUCUUCAUGGGUAAGGAGAAAUCCUUAGUAAACUUGAGUUUUUCUACUCAAGGCAUCCACUACUAUAUUGGCUUUGCGUGGGUGAUAAUUUAUUCUACAAUCAUAGUCCCUUACUAAUUCGAGCUAUAUUCCUUGUCUCACACUUAGAUCUUUUGCUCGAAUAAGUAUUUUAAACUUUUAUGAGGUGUAUCAAUUCCACAUCUCGUUUCAGAAUACCAUUGUUGCUAGUUCCAAGUUAUGUUGAGCAAUUCAGUUCUUGUGGUCUAUGUUCUCAUGACCCAAUAACAAUAACUCUUUCACUUUGCAACAAUGCACAACCAAGUCCAUCUUUGAUACACAGGACCAAUUUUAUAUGGUCUUUCAACUUUGAGAAUUCGGCCAUAUUUUAAAAUAGCCUUUCAUCCAACAACAGAUGAGCAAUUUGAGAGAAAUCUUUAAACCUUAGAAGAUGUGACAUAGACUAUUGUACUAGAGCGAAGAAGUGGCGACCUUAGCAGUAGGGACACUGGCGAUCGUAAGAAAUUCUGGGUUCCAAAACUCUCUUUCCAAAAAUGAUUUUUCAGAAGGAGCGAAUUCCCCGCAAACAAGGCAGGAGACGACUAUCUCAAGGUGCAUCACGCGUACUCAGAAGCCGCAUUAUGCACUAGCUUGAAGGAUGAAUUGGGAAAACCUUUUGCUAGUAAUUGAAUUGGCCUACAAUUAUAGCUUUCGGGCAAUAAUUGAUAUGACACCAUAUGGAGCUUAUUGUGGAAAGAAAUAUUGAUCUCCACUCUAUUGACAUGAGGUAAGUGAAAGAAAAGUAACAGGACCUGAUGCGCUUGAAGAAAUGAUUACGCUUAUCCGACAAAUUCAACAACUGCUCAACGAACCUCAAGAGCGACAGAAAUUUUUUUUUUUUUUUUUUUUAGAUACUCGUUGAUUUGAUUUGAAAUUUUUGAAAUAGGGGAUGAAGUUUUUCUCAGUGUUCCGCAUUCUAAGAAUGCACAAAUUCGAUGUGAAAGAGAAGUAUCUAGCAUUAUUCUCUGACGUAGUCAAAUUUCGAGGACGAAAUUUCUUUAAGGGGGAGAGGAUGUAACACCCAGCAUUUUCACUACAGUAUAUAUAUUAUUUUCUAUUAUCUAAAAGAAGAAAGAGAAGUAGAAUCACUGAGAUGAGAUGAGAUAUUAUUAUAAUACCUUGAGCUUUUAAUUCAAUGAUUGCAUAAUUUGAAUAAUUAAGUAUUCUUGCUUUCUUUAUUAUUUUCAUUCUUGGAAGCAAGUUUAUAAUUCCUAGUUAAAGGGAUUAUUUUAUUAUUUUUCAGAGAUGAGAUUGGUGAUAAAUACGAAAUAUUAUUAGUCGACUUAUUGCUCGGCUAAUUGAAGUGACGGAUGUUAUUUAAUUAUUUAUCUAUGAGUUUUUUUUUUUAAUAGUGAUAGUUUGAGGAAAUUUAGUAUAUGUAUAUAGAAUUGUAUUAUAUUUCAUUGGGUGUAUAAUAAUUUAUUAAUUUAGAUAGCUAUCAAAUACUACUUGAGCUUGGAGCACAAGUUUCGUGAGUCAUAUUAGUGUAGAGAAUUGCUUUUCUAAUUUAUUCUUAUUUUAUUUGAUCUAAUUUUGAGGGCACAAAAUACUUAAGGAAAAGCCAAGUUUCCUCAUAUUAUGUAGAGAAUUGCUUUUCUAAUUUAUUCUUAUUUUUAUUUGAUCUAAUUUUGAGGGCCACAAAAUAAGGCUUAUAGGAAAAGCCAAGUUUUCCUCUUAUUAUUUAUUUCUUCUACAAACCUCAAAUGGGCCGAUCAGUAAGGGAAAUGAGGUUUGAAUUAUAUUGCUCAUUUCUAUAAUUGGAUUUAAAUUUUUAAUGUUUGAGAUAAGCAUUUAUUUAUUGUAAAGUGUAUAUAUUAGUUUGAGGAGAUUCAUUUCCUUUUCUUCUCCCCAAAACAGUCGACCUUCUCCCCUCUCUCUUUAUGGAACCUCAGUUUGAGUUUACUUUCAACCUUCAAGAAGAUUCAGCCGCCGCCUCUGCUCCGACCGUCGUCGGCUGCCGUCGGGUCCAAGUCCGGCGUCUCGUCUGUUCUUCCCUGGUGCCCCUCGCACUACUCUCAUCUUCUCUCAAUUUAGCGAAGAACCCAAAUGAGAAGCCCUAAUUUCAAAAUCCGAAAUCGCCGUCACCCGAGCCCGAAAUUCGGCAAUACAGCAGCCUCCUCUUCAACGUGGUCGAAGUUCUCGCACCGGAAGUCCUCGCCGUUCCCCCUCUUUUUCGAUGUGGAGCCCUAAUUAUUAGAAGAAGGAAAUUACUACUGUCGCGACUGGAAGGCCAACGAACGGCUGAGCUUCGCCCAUCUCUGCCUUGAAUCCAUGCUCGAGAAUGAGAGAAAGGGAAACGAGCUCUAAUUCUUUUCUACUCCCGCCGUCAUGGUUCGGCUGCCACCUCCGCCGUCUGUGGAAGACCGGCGAUUCAGCGGCGCCGCUCCAUUCACGACGCCGCUACUGCUGCUACACGAUCCCCUCCGAGGCAGGAAGCGCUGCUGUCAUCAUCGUCGUCUUGGCUCGACUGAACAGGGUAGCGUCCCUCGUCGUCGAAAAGUUAAGUAUUCUACUUGUUAUUGUAGAAAGUGUUUGAUGUUGCUUGUGAUUUCUGAGUUCAUGCCAUAAUAAUCGAGGCAUAGGUGACUUCUCUCUAAGAUUCCUAAAGUGAGAUAUUAAACAAAAUGUUAUAUGUUUCUAAGUUAGUAAUUACUUUAAAUUAAGUAAAAUGAUGGCAGGAAUCAUAGCUUCAGCCCAAAGCUUCGAUUUUUGACCCUCCCUCAAGAACCCCAGAAUUUCAUCUUCUUUAUAUUUGUAUCAAUUGACUAUGUAUACAUGUCUAUAUGUAUGUGAAGAAUUGAUUGGGAUUUUAUUUGGGUAUUUAUUCACAAGAAAACAUGAUUCCCUAAUAGUUUAGUUUAAGUGGAUUUGGGAGUUCUUGGAAUAAGCUAGCUACAUGUUUGAUGCUUGUGUAAUUGUACUCCUUGAAUUGUAAAAUGAGAUUAUAUGACAAUAGUUGGAGGAUAUCAAGCAUGCUACUAUAUGUUGAUGUGUUGAACAUGAAUUACGUUUAAGCUAAAGCAUGCUAAUGUGUAGUAAGAUGAUGUAUUUGAGUUACUAUAGCUUUUAUUUGAUAAAAAUAUGAGUUAUAUGUUGAGUUGAGAUGAAGAAGGUAUUGCUGUUGGUUUUGCUGUACAGGACAGUACCUUGUAAGGUAUUUUCGGGAGUGUUCCUGUGUUCGAAAUGAUUUGAAAUUUUUACAGUAAUUACUUCAUUAUGAGUAUUAGAUCUCUGCAAAAUUUCAGCUAAAUCCGAGACCAAUAGACAUGUCAAACUAUUUUCUGAAAUGUACUGCACGGAGCAGCAGAGUUCAGUGCAGAUUCUGUCUUUGGUCAUAUAACUUCUUAUCCACUUGAGAUUUUGUGUUUUUGUAAAUUUCUGAGAAAUAUAGACAUCAAUAGCUUUCUAAAAAGGUAAAACUCGUAUUUUUCCUUGAAGCGAUUGAUUUUAUAUGAUUUUCCAAAGUUAGGAUUCAAAUGUGUAUGUGUCUUGAUUAAACUUGUGAUUGGUAGUUAAUUGAGAUCCUACACUACUAAACUUGAAUUAAGGUUUUAUUGUUCUAAUUACCUAUUGAGAAUUAUUGAUUACUAAGCUUGUUAAUAUGAUAGUUGAUGGACAUAAUUAUGCUUAUAUGAUUAAUUACUUUGGGAUUUUGUGUUUUACAUGUAUGGUUAGUUGUAAACUGAUCUCUAUGGAAUGGAUUUGUUUACUUCUAAACUUUCUUAAGUAGAGGAAUUCCUAUAAGAUAGGAAUAUUAGUUUAUACUUUCUUAAAGUUCAUAGAGUUAGUAUAUUGGUUAGUUUAGUUGAUGCAACCCUAGUAGUUUAUUGGGAUGUUAUUUAUAGCUAAUUCUUCUUAUCUAGUUAUCCAAUCUUAUUUUAGAAUCUUGCUAUUAUGAAGGUGACAGUAGCAAUGAUAGAUAAGUGAGCAAGAGUUUCUACAUCGUUAAGCGUAUCAGGUGGGCUUUCUAAACUCAGAAUUUGAAGUGCGCACUAUUUAAUGAUGUUAUUAUAUGAAUGAAGUUAUAUUAAAGUUAUUGACUUGCCAAAUUAUUUUAUGAGCUUGUAUGUUACCAUCUACGAGAGAUAGACGAUAUCGGCCCUAUGCUGAAGCGAGAUGUCAGUAAGGGUUUGUGCACAUAGUUGUGACCGUGAGUCAUCGAGCGGGUUGGCCGGUCACUGUGAUCGGGAGCCUUCGGGCCGAUCACUGUGUUUGAGAAGGAGGCCUACUUCUCAACACAAGGUUACAUGAUGCGUAGUUAUGGUACAUACAUGUUAAUUGUCUGCAGACGUAUAUGAUGUUAUGAUGAUAUAUAUAUAUAUAGAAGUUCUACAGUUUUGGCGUGCACAGGUUUUUUUUAAAUAAAACACAUGUGUGAU
This 7290-nucleotide long non-coding RNA is filed under the name Salvia miltiorrhiza (redroot sage). Its description in RNAcentral is "long non-coding RNA (SMIL_LNC006269)". The record is from RNAcentral. Lineage: Eukaryota; Viridiplantae; Streptophyta; Magnoliopsida; Lamiales; Lamiaceae.